RNAcentral lists this ribosomal RNA (253 nucleotides) under uncultured bacterium. RNAcentral's name for it is "partial 16S ribosomal RNA". It matches the Rfam family "Bacterial small subunit ribosomal RNA", at positions 524 to 776 of the family's 1533-position model. The record is from RNAcentral.
UACGGAAGGGGCUAGCGUUGUUCGGAAUCACUGGGCGUAAAGGGCGCGUAGGCGGCCGAUCAAGUCGGGGGUGAAAGCCUGUGGCUCAACCACAGAAUUGCCUUCGAUACUGUUUGGCUUGAGACCGGAAGAGGUUAGUGGAACUGCGAGUGUAGAGGUGAAAUUCGUAGAUAUUCGCAAGAACACCAGUGGCGAAGGCGGCUGACUGGUCCGGUUCUGACGCUGAGGCGCGAAAGCGUGGGGAGCAAACAGG